GUGAGGAAUAUUGGUCAAUGGGCGGGAGCCUGAACCAGCCAAAUCGCGUGAAGGAUGAAGGUAUUAUGUAUUGUAAACUUCUUUUAUCGGGGAAUAAAGUGCAUCACGUGUGGUGUUUUGUAAGUACCCGAAGAAUAAGGAUCGGCUAACUCCGUGCCAGCAGCCGCGGUAAUACGGAGGAUCCGAGCGUUAUCCGGAUUUAUUGGGUUUAAAGGGUGCGUAGGCGGACUAUCAAGUCAGCGGUGAAAGUUCAUGGCUCAACCAUGGAAUUGCCGUUGAAACUGAUGGUCUUGAGUGUAGAUGAGGUAGGCGGAAUUCGUGGUGUAGCGGUGAAAUGCAUAGAUAUCACGAAGAACACCGAUUGCGUAGGCAGCUUACCAAGCUACAACUGACGCUGAGGCACGAAGGUGCGGGGAUCAAACAGGAUUAGAUACCCUGGUAGUCC
This 445-nucleotide ribosomal RNA is filed under the name uncultured bacterium. Its description in RNAcentral is "partial 16S ribosomal RNA". It matches the Rfam family "Bacterial small subunit ribosomal RNA", at positions 354 to 796 of the family's 1533-position model. The record is from RNAcentral.